AUUCUUCACCUUAGAGAUAGUUAAUCCAUCGGUAAAAACAAACCUACCAUCAAAUUUUCACUCCCGACCUUUUCAAAGCCAAAUAAGCUCCUCCCGGUCGUUGUCUUGCUUCCAAAAUCACAUUCUUAAUAAUUGACGACCUAACAAUCCAAACCCUUAUAGGAGAAUCGGCAACAUACACACAAUUAACUGGGAAUUCGUAUAUGUAACGCAAAUAUGCACCCGCUUUCAAACGACCUAAAUAUUUUAUUGGAUAAUCCAUCA
Molecule: long non-coding RNA, 264 nt
Filed under: Mytilus galloprovincialis (Mediterranean mussel)
Lineage: Eukaryota; Metazoa; Mollusca; Bivalvia; Mytilida; Mytilidae
Source: RNAcentral